UGUGAUUCUUCAUUCCAGGAAACCCUAAAAAGAUGUUCCUUUGCAUGGAAAAAGGCGAAGAAACAGUGAAAAAGGAGAAGUCCACACUGGGAGAAAAGCUAUUUUAUAUAGCAUAAUAAUCUUGUCAGGAAACAGAAAACAAAUUCCUGCCCCAUCUCAAGCUGUGGAAAACCUUGAACUCACAAGAAGCAAUAAGCUCAAACCAUAUAAGAGAAAGCGACUCAAACUUUUGAUAUUAAAAAAGAGGAUCUGUAAUUCUGAAGUGAUUUGCAAAUCUGCAUUUAGGACCACUCAUCCAAGAUAAUGUGGAUUUUCCCAGCCAUUUGGAAGGUGGUAUAGUGUGAUCAUGCUAAGGAAUUCAUGCUGGAUUAAAAAUGUCUCCAAAGAAGCUGCCCCAUAUGAACUUCUAAUGGAUAUGUGGAGAGCAAUGUGUUCCUUGCAUGCUCUGUGGAAAAGCCUAUCAAAACUCUAGAUAUGAGAGAUUAAUUGAGGAAAGGUUUUGAGGGAAAGCACAAUGGUCAACUCCAACAGCUACAGAGUGGCUCAAAAAUUUGAAUCAAAUUCUCCAAAUUUGAUUCAGACUUCAGAAUGGCCCCGAGACCAAGGAAUAUAGGAAAUGAAUGAAAACACAGAAAUAUUGGAAGGCCAAAAAGGCAAGAAGGAUUCAUGCAGAAACUCAACUGUCUCUGAUAUCAAGAUUAACAAUGAGAUUUGUCCUGCUGCUUCUCAGGCCUGUUGGAAGUGUACUGAAUAAUUUGCUGGCAGUCUCUGAUACAAUAUAUGCAAUCAUCUGUAGAUACCUCCUUAGUGAUGCAACUAGAGAAGAGGCUCACUGGCUGUUUCAGAGUAACAAGAGGAUAAAUUCAAUACUGAUCUUCUAUCCACACAAUGACACCUUCGAGGGUCUGAGAGAAAGUUCCAGUCAAAUCCACAUGCAUUAAGAGUCUGUAUCAUGAAUGUUCUGCUUGGGCUGCCCUGAUACCCUGAUUUAAACCUGUUCAAGCAGGCAAAAUGGCAAGACUUGGGAGGCUCAUCUUCAAAUACAUGUAUUUUUGAACCCCACAUUUUCAGAGAUUGUGCAGCAUUGUGUCCGUGAACUUCCAGAGUUUGCAUUAAAAAGUGACAGAACAUCAGAGUGCCAGAAGCUUCUCAUAUUGUGGCCCUGAAGGGACUGCUGGAACUUGUACUGGAAAAGCCCGGUUUCACUGGCAAAGAAUUUUGCUGCAGUAAGAAAAUUUGCCAGUAUGGUUGGUGGGGUUGAAAACCAAAAUAUUCUGUGAUCUGCUGAGCUGUGACUGGAGUAGAACAA
Molecule: long non-coding RNA, 1309 nt
Organism: Manacus vitellinus (golden-collared manakin)
Lineage: Eukaryota; Metazoa; Chordata; Aves; Passeriformes; Pipridae
Exons: 11
Source: RefSeq, a predicted model, not a curated record